RNAcentral lists this ribosomal RNA (253 nucleotides) under uncultured bacterium. RNAcentral's name for it is "partial 16S ribosomal RNA". It matches the Rfam family "Bacterial small subunit ribosomal RNA", at positions 524 to 776 of the family's 1533-position model. The record is from RNAcentral.
UACGUAGGGGGCGAGCGUUGUCCGGAAUCAUUGGGCGUAAAGCGCGCGUAGGCGGCCAUCUAAGUUUGGUGUGAAAGCCCAGGGCUUAACCCUGGAAGUGCACUGAAUACUGGAAGGCUAGAGGAUAAGAGGGGAGAUUGGAAUUCAUGGUGUAGGGGUGAAAUCCGUAGAUAUCAUGAGGAACAUCAGUGGCGAAGGCGAAUCUCUGGCUUAUUUCUGACGCUGAGACGCGAAAGCGUGGGGAGCAAACAGG